GACGAACGCUGGCGGCGUGCUUAACACAUGCAAGUCGAACGGAAAGGCCCUGCUUUUGUGGGGUGCUCGAGUGGCGAACGGGUGAGUAACACGUGAGUAACCUGCCCUUGACUUUGGGAUAACUUCAGGAAACUGGGGCUAUUACCGGAUAGGAGCUCCUGCUGCAUGGUGGGGGUUGGAAAGUUUCGGCGGUUGGGGAUGGACUCGCGGCUUAUCAGCUUGUUGGUGGGGUAGUGGCUUACCAAGGCUUUGACGGGUAGCCGGCCUGAGAGGGUGACCGGCCACAGUGGGACUGAGAUACGGCCCAGACUCCUACGGAAGGCAGCAGUGGGGAAUAUUGCACAAUGGGCGGAAGCCUGAUGCAGCAACGCCGCGUGCGGGAUGACGGCCUUCGGGUUGUAAACCGCUUUCGCCUGUGACGAAGCGUGAGUGACGGUAAUGGGUAAAGAAGCACCGGCUAACUACGUG
RNAcentral lists this ribosomal RNA (468 nucleotides) under uncultured bacterium. RNAcentral's name for it is "partial 16S ribosomal RNA". It matches the Rfam family "Bacterial small subunit ribosomal RNA", at positions 28 to 507 of the family's 1533-position model. The record is from RNAcentral.